Long non-coding RNA from Betta splendens (Siamese fighting fish), 7404 nucleotides. RefSeq lists it as uncharacterized. The transcript is spliced from 4 exons. NCBI's taxonomy places the organism in Eukaryota, Metazoa, Chordata, Actinopteri, Anabantiformes, Osphronemidae. The record is from RefSeq and is a predicted model, not a curated record.
GGUUAGAUAAGCCUAUGAAUUCCUGGAAUAUGUUUAUACUGUAUGUGGUUUAUUUAGUUUCGCAAUAUAUACACUAUGCAAUAUAUGCAAAAUUCAAGUCACAAUAUUAUUUCUAAAUACCCAAGUUUAGAUCGUUUGGAGUGCCAAAUUAUAUUUCCAUAUUUCCCUCCUGCCUUUUUUUACAUGCCACGAGCAAAUCUGAAUUUCACUCAGCCUCGAAGAGAAAAGAGAGAGAAAUCAAGGGUGCACCAUAAAUGCACAGAGAUGGAGUGCAGAAGAAUGUUAUAGGAGGGGGCUUUGGUGAAAGGAUUCAAGGAUUUAACAAUCCCACAUCCUCUCAGCCUGUCCUUCAUCUCUAAUAAUCAAGCUUGGCCACAGAAUACCCCUCUGGAUGGGAAAAAAACAUGUUGCCUGUCCGCCUCUCACUCAUCUUUAGACUGCCAGUCUUGGGUCUUCCUCUUGAAGUCUUCUGUCACAUUUAUGGCUUCAAACACAAAGCACAGCCUUUUUUAACCGACUGCCAUGUCUUUAAAGCUGGGUAUCUUUUUUUUUUUUUGGUACUACAUUAGCAUGAGAUGAAGAGCAGGGUGCCUCGUGCAAAGGAAGCCCUGAGAAGGCUGGACCACAGACACUGUGAACCUGUUUGUUGAUCAACACCAAAGGGCACCGAAACAAGCUAAGCACUUUGAGUUCAGACUCACAGCUGAUCCAUCUCCCGGUGCUCCACCGUGGCAGAGGGGGUUAAAGGACCCCGAAUGCACGGGACCAUAUUGCAGCGCCUCCCAGCACUCCUCCAUGUUCUCCUCCAUCUGCCUCCUGUCCAUUGAUCAGCCUUCCAGGGCAUCAGUCUGUUUAACAUCUGCUACAAGUUGCAGCAGCUCAGAUAAAAGCACAACGCCUCCCGAGCAGCUCUCCAGAUGUGCGAGGAGCAUUCAGAUGCUUCCUGAAGUCAAAGGUUCUACACAGAAAAUGUGCAUCAGGUAGAAGGACUGGAGCAGGUACUUGGAGACCAGUACAAGUAAAGUACUCGAGUAACGGUACUGCGCUACUCUCCACCCCCCCCUCCGACACUAAAUCCCACCCUCAGCAGGUUGUGAUCCCUGUCACUUCGUGCCGUCCACCAUUUUCUUGGGAGAACCGCCUUCGUGACACGCUUCCUGCCGCCGCCACACCUGACUGAUCCUCCCCUCGCUCUGCGCGGAUGAUAUCACACGGCGACAAGACUCCCAAAAGGCUUUUCCCGUACAGCGGAACGCGUCACGUGACCGUGUCGCCCGGCUAGACCCAAAUAUUGUGCAUUGUUGGUAAGGAGAGGUCAGGCAACUUGUGCGUGUGGUAUUUCAGGCGGUGCUCUCUAAUUAAGUAUUCAUGAAGCAGCAGUGGGAGCAGAGUGUAGGUUUACGCGGCGGCGGCGGCGGCGGUUCCGACAGCGUCUUCCUCCCCCUCUGUGCGGAACGCUCGGCUUUCCCCCGCAGGCAGACAGGCCAUCACUCCUAGUGUACUUCCAGCAAUGAUAUCAAAAAGGUUUUUUGGUCAAGCCAAAGAGAGGUCACUCUAAUAAUACCCAAGGUCAGUGGUGGGAGCCAGCAAGUCUCCCAGUCAUUAUUCAUUUGUUCGCCGAGUUAAUGACAGGGGGACGAGAACUUGGAGCCAACAGCCAUGUGAUGUCACCAACACAUGCCAAGGGAUUAGGAGGGCAGGCAGGGGACAAGAAGUGUGGAUUAUACCAGGAGGAAAAAGCAACAACCUAUAAUGUUCCAUCACCCAGUGUUAUGACAUGGUUGAUGCAGCAGUACAUUGAAAGCAGAGAAGUCUGUGUUGGAAUAGUUAUAGUAAUAGUGGAAUAGUUUUUAUUUAUUCCUCGGAUAUUUAACAUGUUUAAUGGCCUCGGUUUGACGAUGGAACAGGUUUUUUUUUUCGACCAAACCCCCAUCAUUCAUUCGCAGCCUUUUUGGUAAAUGACAAAAUAUUGUGGGUGUUUUCACGGCGGGAGGUGAUUCCACGACCGCAGCUUCUGUAAUUUACUUCCCCUUUGCGGCGUUUCGUGGCCGCCGCAUUAUGAGCGAUGUUGUAGUUAAGCACAGUAACGACGCUGGUGGAGGGAGAGGAGGAAAAAAAAAAAAAAAAAAAAAAAGCAAAGCUGGAGCCUGUGGCUUUCACGCAGAGAGAAUGAACAAUGAACACACCUUAUUCAGUCAUUGGGCAGGCAGCGCACAGCGAACAAUGAACCCCUCCCUGCCGUCUAGCACCAUGUCUGAUAAUGACCACAUCCUCCACCACUGAUAACGCUCCUCUUUUAUGACCUACAUGUGCAUAAAUAGGACUCAGAUAAAACAUUCAGGGAGGAUAUUGGAAAAUUUGGUCAGAUGUGCAUGUGUGGCAGCAGAAUUAUGUAUUUCCCCGCUUCAGUAACAUGCUAUGGAAAAGCCAUAUGUUGCACAUGUAGCGGCUGGUGAUCCAUGAAGUGAAACAAUGUGGCUUUGCUUCCUGCAGCUAAACUGCCCCAUAUGCUGUCGUGUCUAUUGUAGCAUUUAGUUCAACUCUCUGUUGCGGACAUCGUUCUCCUCUGUUGCCUUCCUGCAGGUGAAUCUGCUGGAUAACAUUUAACAGCGUGCGUUCGGACACGCAGGAAGCCGCCGCCGCCGCCGCCGCCGCCUCGGCAGCCGGCGUGCACAUACAGCAGAUUCCCUGUGUGCGCAUUAGGUCAGGGUAUAAAUAUGAACUGCGAUUUGCAUUACUUUCAGAUGAGUGAAGCUGUCAGGCCAAUAACACGAGCUUUCAGUCCUACUUUCUGCCACUUAUCCCCCAUUCUAGGACCAAGGGGUCAUGUGAAAAUUGAAAGUGACAGUCAAACCAGCAUGUUGAACAGCCUGAUUGGACUAAGCUGUCAUGGCCCAGAUCAGAGCUCUUUAACACCAGGCCUAUCAGAGGUCUUUCUGUCGGAGCCACUGGAUCCCGGGGAGGGACGUGUAAUAAGAAAGACACGGCGUUGACGGCGAAAGGAGAAGAACGGGAGGCGCACAAUCAAACAGCCGCACUGAUGACGCAGGAGCAGGCGCCGUGUGAUGAGCUUUAAAAGAUUCCUACGUGUAAUUGACAAGAAAGACAAAGUUUGAGAUAGUUGUCUGAAAAACUUGAACGCUAUUAACAACCAAAAACAAAAACUUGAGAGUUCACAGGGUUCUUUUUUCUCUCAGCUUCUCAUUUCCAGUUUCCGUUGAGUGAAGUCCAGUGGUUUUUCCCUUUGUGGUCUUUUGAAUCAGAAUGUUUGUUUUACCUGUUUUGCAGAUGGUUUAAUGAGCACAUGACGCUGUCACAUGAAAGAAUUUUUACUUCCUCCAAAGCAUUCUCUGUCAAUUUAUAUUUUGUUUCAUAUGCAGCUUUGCAUGACGCUCAGUCCAGUGUUCAACGCGCCGCCAUCCGUUCAGAUCAUAAUAAAUCCCGUCACCAUCACUUUUCCUUGGGUCCAUCUUUGGAAACGAAGGGGGAAUGGAAUAUUUUCUGUCAGGUGGGAGAAUAACUUAUGAUCCUUUUAUGUCCUGCUGAGAACCCCUUGAAAAUAAUAAUACGCCACAGCAGAAGCUCGUGAACAACCGAAAGGCACCAAGUGUUAUAAAUCUGAUGGGAUUUGCAUAUUUUGCCUCCCUAGCAGCAAGCAGGCAGAAGGAAUUACAUGGAAUAUGAAAAAAGUGGCUACAAGUCACACUCGGAAGCGGAGGCUGGAUGGAAAAACGAGGAUUUAAAGCUAAAGACUUUUUGAAGACUUUUAUUUUUUUUAAAAAGACUCAGCGUCAGGAUUAUUAAUCAAAUAAUGAGUCAUAAUGUGCUUGUUUGACCUUUGUCACAUUUCUUCUCCCUUGUUUCAUCUUUAAACAGGUUUACUUUUUUCCCCAUCAUUAAAAAUUAAAAACACUAAAAAUGAAGCUGUCAACUAUAGUUAGUCUUAUGUCGGGAGAACGUCGGUGAACUCCGGGAAUUAAAAACAAACUUAAAUUUGGGAGUGACGUGUAAGUUUGACGUGAAAGCUGUCAAAAGGUUUACACGACUGGAAUCAUGUCAAAUCUUCUUAAACUGAAAGUUUUCUUAAAAAGUGCAAAGUUGCAAAGGUUUUAAGAAAGAGAGAGAAAAAAGAAGCCUUUAGAUGCAGAACUCCAGACUUGAAGGAGGAUUCACUGUGUUGGUGUCCGUCCUGUGCUGUGAUUGGUCGAAACAGCUCGACCUCAACACUUGGCAAAAUUGACUACAACUGCCUACUGGGCUUUGCUUUGCUGCAGACUCCUCUGUGUUAUUGUACGUGCAGAGUGUGUGUGUGUGUGUGUGUGUGUGUGUGUGUGUGUGUGUGUGUGUGUGUGUGUGUGUGUGUUUGUGUGUUUGUGUGUGUGUGUGUGUGUGUGUGUGUGAGGAAGUAAUUGUCUUAUGGGAAAGGAAACAUUUAUGAUGUUAUGUUUAUAUGUUUUAUAUUGUAUCUUAAUUAGCAGGAGACGACUCCCUAGCUUUAACUAAUGUGGUCUUUAAAUUAAAUUGAGGAUAUUAGAUUUUAUUGGCUUCAGUUAAGAAUCCACAUUGCCAGACGCUGCUGUGCCUCCACUGUUUCCUGCAGAUAUCAUAAAACAACAAGUCACUCUGUGCUUGGUGACGACUUGCUCUUCUUUUUCCCUCUGUUGCCCAGUUUCACAACGGUUUGUCUGUGUAAAUGCAGCUUCAGGGUGUGUUGAAUCAUGUGAAGGACAUCAGAGAGGUGUAUUGUUUGAUAAUUCCACUAACACAAAGAAUUAGCCAGUGAUCACAACACAACAUCAAGCUCCACAACCAAAGGUUCUGUUUUUACCCAGGAACCAGAAAGGGAUCAAAAGUGGAUCCACCGUGAAAAUCCCUGACAAAAUGCAAAUUAAUGAAGUGGAAAAACACUUUCAAUUAAUUUCUUAUUUAGGUUUUCUUAUGCCUAAACUUUGCCAAAAUUAUUCACAAGAAAAAAACGAGGUUCCACAUUUUCACUAUAAACGUUUUCCAGCAGCAACCAACUGAAUCCAUGAGCGAGUCAUGAAACACUUCAGAGUUGUUUUUCCUUCACUCCUCCUUUCUGUCGACACACACAUCAAAUUAGAGGCGAGCGCGGAGCAGGUUUUGUACAUUACAUUUGCUCACACAUGCAGACAUUAGAGGCACUGUUGCUUUAAUUGUGUGAUACAUGUUUUAAUGUAAGAACAAAAAACUUGGGCUCUCCCCCUUCCUCUGAAGGAUCAGGUAAAAGGCUCGUCUCCUGCCUUCCAAAAAGCACUCGUCCAUUCCAACAUCACAAUUCUCCAACCCAUGUUCUCCUUUUUUUUCUGAUUCCACUGAUCUGAGCUUGAAAUGCGAAGACAGCAAAGCACUAAGCCUUCAAACGUGUGAUUUUUUCCAAAGAUCUCUAGAAGCAAUCUCUGCCUGACUGACCCUUGACAGCUGCAGAUCUCUUUAUUUCUCUGUCUGCUGGCACUUCAUUUGGUAGAAAAGCUCUCAGAUUCACACCUCUGUCAGACAGCACAAGUGUUUAUUAUGUGCAUACACAGAAUAUCCCAUAUAGUGUACAUCUCAAAGGCAAUGCAGGCUGCAGACUUUUAAUAAACAACCUGGAAAUUCUGGACCCUGGAAAUGAAUCAUAGUAACAGUAAUUUAUCUUGAUUUUGAUCAUAUUUAUUGCAAAAGACAGAAAGAGAAAGAAAGAAAAAGUAGAGCUUGAAUUUAGGAAUACAUUCUCACGUUGUUAGAUCAUCACCGUCCACACCACAACAGAAUUACCUGAACAAUAGCGUGUGCUCUAAUGUGCAGUUUAUCUUGGUUUUAUUGUGGCAGUUUUUCCACCGUCAGACGGAGAGCAGGGUUUCGCUGGUGACUCCCUCUCUGGAAAUGAGACUGCAGGCUCUAUCAUUAGAUCGGAUGGCAAGUCUUUAUGCAAAGUGUUUUGCAUAAUUACAUACCAAAGCCAGAAUAGCCACCCUCAAAUUUUAUGGGUCACAAAGCAUCAACAAUUGCCGCAUUAUUGUCCACCAAAGUCCAGCCCCACCAAUGACAAGAAACGAAAAAAAAAGAAGAGGCGGACGAGAGGAGCAGCUCGUCUGCCUAAUCUAAGCUUGGGAGAUUGCAUUUUCAUUCCAAUAAAACGUAAAGAAGAUUAUUCCCAAACUGACAACUUGUUUACAUAUAGUUGUAAAAGUUCAGAGGACUGGCCAAGACUUCACGGAAGCUUUAUCACAACAUGUGAACAUCAUGAAAUGGCUCCAGUUAAGUCCCUGAUAUUAGCCUUCUUCUGGGCGGGAUUUAUAAUGAGAAAUAGGCAACUUUUAUUAAAAUGCGAUGUAAAUUCGUCCAAGACGUUCAUCACGCGAUUUUAUCGAUGUGAUCGCAUUUAAAAAUAUUCAUACACAGGGAAAUACUCACAGUAGCACCGAAGGCUAAUACGAUACGUGUAUAAAGUAUGUUACAGUAUUUUCUUUAAUGAGAAAAUAAUGAUUCAAGACAGAGAGACUGAGGCUGCUUGACUUCACAUGGAUCCAUUGUCCAGUUUAGAAGCUGGAUGGUCUUUAGAGAUUUAGAGCUAGAAUACAAAAAAAAAAUUUGGAGUAACAGUAAAUUAGUAAUCAGCUAAAAUAUUGAACCCAUUUAUUUAUUGCAUCGCAACGUCUGAAUUUUACAGAGGAGAGAAAUCUACAAUAUACGCGAAUAAUGCAGGAGAAAUACACCGGGAUUGCCUCAUUUUAUUUUUAACAAUCCGGGAGAUAAAUGUGAUCGUGGAGCAGAAUUAAUAUAAACGUCAUUGAUUUUAUAGUUUGUGUUAUCAAGCUAUUAUCUGUCGUGAACAGGCCGCUGCCUUCCUCACCUCCGGCAGACAGAAAUAAGACUGUUAGGAAAUACGAUACAAAAUAAAAUAACAACGCAAAUGAAUAAAUGGAAUCAGACGACAGCAAAACGUGUUUUCGAUUCUAUAAGGAUUAAUAAAAAUAUAUAUAUGACGGAACCGCCUCAGUUGAGGGAGAGUCUGGGAUUUUUCGAUGGUCCUCUUUUGAUGUACUCGAUUGUCUUUAAAAAAAACAAGCACACACUUUUAUUUGAAGUGUAAUACGAAUCAUUAAUAGAUGAAACACGGCCUUGUGUAACAGACCAGGCUGCUAUCACCAAAUAUUUGCCAAGGGCAUCUGAUUCUUUUAAAAAAAAAUCGAAAUAUCACCGACAAUGACAGCUGUGGAGGUUGCAUUCAUGAGGUCUCACAACACAUAGAGCAUAAAUUAUCCUCAUUGUUCUGCGUCGAACAUGAUGUUUGUUGUCUCUGUAUGUUUCCGCUCAUAAAGCAACGCAUCUUUCAUUUUUGCCCCAGAAAUGUGUUUAAAUGUUUUGUGCAUUAAAAUAAAUGCUAAUGAAUUGUGUGAA